GAUGAACGCUGGCGGCGUGCCUAAUACAUGCAAGUCGAGCGAACAGACGAGGAGCUUGCUCCUCUGACGUUAGCGGCGGACGGGUGAGUAACACGUGGAUACCCUACCUAUAAGACUGGGAUAACUUCGGGAAACCGGAGCUAAUACCGGAUAAUAUAUUGAACCGCAUGGUUCAAUAGUGAAAGACGGUUUUGCUGUCACUUAUCGAUGGAUCCGCGCCGCAUUAGCUAGUUGGUAAGGUAACGGCUUACCAAGGCAACGAUGCGUAGCCGACCUGAGAGGGUGAUCGGCCACACUGGAACUGAGACACGGUCCAGACUCCUACGGGAGGCAGCAGUAGGGAAUCUUCCGCAAUGGGCGAAAGCCUGACGGAGCAACGCCGCGUGAGUGGUGAAGGUCUUCGGAUCGUAAAACUCUGUUAUGAGGGAAGAACAAAUGUGUAAGUAACUAUGCACGUCUUGACGGUACCUAAUCAGAAAGCCACGGCUAACUACGUG
This 497-nucleotide ribosomal RNA is filed under the name uncultured bacterium. RNAcentral describes it as "partial 16S ribosomal RNA". It matches the Rfam family "Bacterial small subunit ribosomal RNA", at positions 28 to 507 of the family's 1533-position model. The record is from RNAcentral.